GACGAACGCUGGCGGCGUGCUUAACACAUGCAAGUCGAACGCUGAAGCUCAGCUUUUGUUGGGUGGAUGGGUGGCGAACGGGUGAGUAACACGUGAGUAACCUGCCCCCUUCUUUGGGAUAACGCCCGGAAACGGGUGCUAAUACUGGAUAUUCACUGGUCUUCGCAUGGGGGUUGGUGGAAAGGGUUUUUCUGGUGGGGGAUGGGCUCGCGGCCUAUCAGCUUGUUGGUGGGGUGAUGGCCUACCAAGGCUUUGACGGGUAGCCGGCCUGAGAGGGUGACCGGUCACAUUGGGACUGAGAUACGGCCCAGACUCCUACGGGAGGCAGCAGUGGGGAAUAUUGCACAAUGGGCGCAAGCCUGAUGCAGCGACGCCGCGUGAGGGAUGGAGGCCUUCGGGUUGUGAACCUCUUUCGCUCAUGGUCAAGCCGCAACAAUGGUUGUGGUGAGGGUAGUGGGUAAAGAAGCGCCGGCUAACUACGUG
RNAcentral lists this ribosomal RNA (483 nucleotides) under uncultured bacterium. RNAcentral's name for it is "partial 16S ribosomal RNA". It matches the Rfam family "Bacterial small subunit ribosomal RNA", at positions 28 to 507 of the family's 1533-position model. The record is from RNAcentral.